This 473-nucleotide ribosomal RNA is filed under the name uncultured bacterium. RNAcentral's name for it is "bacterial SSU rRNA". It matches the Rfam family "Bacterial small subunit ribosomal RNA", at positions 335 to 799 of the family's 1533-position model. The record is from RNAcentral.
ACUCCUACGGGAGGCAGCAGUGGGGAAUAUUGCACAAUGGGCGCAAGCCUGAUGCAGCCAUGCCGCGUGUGUGAAGAAGGCCUUCGGGUUGUAAAGCACUUUCAGUUGUGAGGAAGGUGGUGUCGUUAAUAGCGGCAUCAUUUGACGUUAGCAACAGAAGAAGCACCGGCUAACUCCGUGCCAGCAGCCGCGGUAAUACGGAGGGGUGCGAGCGUUAAUCGGAAUUACUGGGCGUAAAGCGCAUGCAGGUGGUUUGUUAAGUCAGAUGUGAAAGCCCGGGGCUCAACCUCGGAACUGCAUUUGAAACUGGCAGACUAGAGUACUGUAGAGGGGGUAGAAUUUCAGGUGUAGCGGUGAAAUGCGUAGAGAUCUGAAGGAAUACCGGUGGCGAAGGCGGCCCCCUGGACAGAUACUGACACUCAGAUGCGAAAGCGUGGGGAGCAAACAGGAUUAGAUACCCUGGUAGGACAGUG